Long non-coding RNA from Prionailurus viverrinus (fishing cat), 516 nucleotides. RefSeq lists it as uncharacterized. Lineage: Eukaryota; Metazoa; Chordata; Mammalia; Carnivora; Felidae. The record is from RefSeq and is a predicted model, not a curated record. The transcript is spliced from 3 exons.
CCAAGUUUAAGCCAUAUGAAAAUGCAUGGACUUCUGUACCUGAGAAGAAACUGGAAAGAAAAAAAAUAACACAGAAUCCAAGCAUGAGCUGAAGAAACUGGAGCCCCAGGAACUGAAGGGACUUCAGACUGCAGCUAGGCCGUCGUGGACAAGCUGACUUCGAAUCAAAACUAAACCACACUAAACUAAAAUUACACAAAGCAUGAGAUUGAGAUAAGGGGAUGACAAGUAUCCAGCUGCAAUCUGCUAAAUAACAUGAUGAUAAAUGUGGGCUCUAUUGCUCCAAUAACAUUGCCGCAGACUUAUCAGAUCAGAAGCUUUUUGGAUCCAUCUGAAUAAGAGGAGUACCUGAUAGACUUUUCACCUAUGGAAGGGUAAAGAAUAAAAUUAUGUGGUGUUUUCUUUAACCGUAGCUGACAGCAAGGAGAGAAAGCAGAAACUUCCUUUGGCUUUAUCAUAAUGCUGAUGAGGAGGAAGAGGGGAAGAAUCAAGAGUGCUUCAACCUUUGCAUGGAAA